CUCUCUAGUAUCAAUGUGUGGUUCUCUUAUCUUGCGGUAGGAAGAUAGGUCCCUGGGGAAAGCAGUAAGCUUCCUGAGUCUUUGAGUCAAGAGCUGGAAAAUAUGGAGGGUGAUUUUCAGAAUGUCUGACCAUAAUCCAUCCUUAAAUGUUCCCAUAGAUCUGUGCAGUUUGAAUUCCAUUAAUUGUGUGAUGGAUUUACAGUUGAACAUUUAAGGUAUAAUUACCUCUAUUAUCGAAAACAAAGGAGACACGUGCCAGUCUGACAGAGUAAAGAUAUAGCCUCAAGGAAACGGAUUAGUUCAUCUUGUCUCUUCCCCUCACACAUGCACAUGCAGAUAUUUCUGCAUGAAUCCCUGUCUACCUACUUGUCAGUGCAUUCAUUGUCCCCUGAUUUCCAGGGCUGCAUUGUCAUCUCUCUGGGACGGCUCCUAAUGGUUGAAAAGUUCUUCACUUAAGUUCAUGAUCAUCACAGGUCCGGUUACCAAAAGAGAUUCAUCUGUUUGAACCUUGAUAUGUGUGAGUCUACUCACUGGAAACAAGCAGCCGAUUUAAAAAGAUAUUGGAAGAACAGCUUGGACACAGAGAAAGGAAUGACCUGGAGUCUUAAAAAACAGACAAGCUUUUCAGUAGCUUGGCACUUGGAACAAGAAGCUAAAAGUCACAUAAGGAUUGUCUCCCAGUGACAACUGCUAGCACCACAGGGCUAGAACUGGUAAAAGACAAAGCAAAACCGCCAUGCCUUUGGGGAAAUGACUCUGCUACCUUGCCAAGAAACAUGUUUGGCAGGUUUAUAAGCCAAGGUGGAGUUGAAGUUCUCUGAGCCCUUCUGCCCUCCUUGAAAGAUGUCAGGUGGGAACCUCAGCAAAGGUAAUAUCUUGAGCAGCAUCUCCAGGGUUGGGCAAACUGGUUCAGGUAGAAGAAGCUGCAGCUCACACUGAACCUUUGCCCAUUUCUUGAUGGGCCCAGCCUAAAUUGUGUCUUCUUCCCCCUCACAAACCUAAAUCUGGCACACAGUUGUCCUCAGAACAGAACCUUCAUAGAUGAUGUGAAAAGCAUGGCUGAUAUCUUAAAAUCUUUCUCUUGAAUGUCUGCACCUCUGCCCUCCCUUGAGGUUAAUUAUUUGAACGCCAGCC
Molecule: long non-coding RNA, 1134 nt
Filed under: Anas platyrhynchos platyrhynchos (common mallard)
Lineage: Eukaryota; Metazoa; Chordata; Aves; Anseriformes; Anatidae
Description: lncRNA (ENSAPLG00000020806.1)
Source: RNAcentral